CAAGAAUACCUUUGACUUUUUUUCUCUUUUUUGGACACAAUACAAGCUUAUUUAUUUGGACAUUCUACCCAACACAAGUGUCAAGGUAGUAGUAACGUGUCCACUUGGAGCCCAAAGCUGGUGCCUGCUCGAAGACAACUCCACCCUGCAAACCCUUUUCCCCUCCUGCCACCAAAUUAUGAAAUAAUAAUGCCGAGACCGUCAAGAGCAGUGUCAAGCAAAUGAUGUCAAGGACCCUGACAAGAAGGCAUGAAUGGCUCAACACAGAAAGAGACGUAUUUCAGUGGCAAUUGGCUACUGGACACUGUGUUCGUGCUCUCUUUGCAUUAUUAGCCCAUCCAUUUAAAGCUCGUAUCAGCUCCAAGGACAACGACAAGCAAAUCUUACCCAAUGUAGACACAACACUGCUAUUCACACCGAGUAUCCUCCCUUUCAUUCCUUAGACAGUCUACACCUGCACAUGUGCUCCUUUGUAAACUGAAGGUGAACACGGUAAGCAAUAAACAGUAUGGACCUUCUAAUCAUUUCUCUAGUACUGAUGAAGUCUGCGGGUGGAAGGACGGAGUGACCCAGAAGGAGUAUGGUGCAAGCAUGGGAUUUUUGAUGGCUAUUGACUGCUUGGCUCUGCUCUCAGUUUCCAUUGAUUUCUUGGCGUUGACAGGAUCUACUACUGCGAUGCUUUGUUUCAGAGAGCCACUUUUUUGUUUUUUGGCUUUUUUUUUUUUUUUUUUUUUUUGAGAGCCAGUGUUUUAUUUUCCCUGCUGCGGCAUGUCCCUGGUGCAUAGGUCAUUUCCUGGAGACCUCAUCGUAGCCAGGAAACAGCGAAGAGUGAAGAAAUAAGCCAAAAUACCUCCAAGCAACUAAAAUAGAUAAUGGCCAAGUCUCCACUGUCCAAACACUUCAUAAAGAGGAAAGCCCUUUGGAGUUCUCUGCACAUAGUUCUAGUAAGCUCUAUUGUGUGAUUUUCUAGCAAAGCACUUUAAACAGCACGUGUGUUGGGAGGUUAGGAGAGUUGCCAAAGGCUGGGACACUGGCAGCUAUGAAAAUGACAUCUGAUAGACUGCAAGAGAGAAAAAGACCAAAGAACAAAAAGAAAAGAAAAGAAAACCUAUAAAAACAGGAAUCAAGGAAUCAAAACUCAGAGAUGGGAUCAUGCCACAGAGAGGCAAACACCCCAUACGUGACCACUGGAUUCCCGCGUGGGAGAGAAAUUGACAUCCACCCGGAAGCCUGAGAUAAAAAGACUGGAACAAGGUAUGCUCAGCAAACUGUUGGAGAAGGCAGGAAGUAUGUGAUACAUUUUAGAAAGAUUUCUAGACAAAAUAGUUUUGCUACUGUUUUUGUGUUUAAAUGCGUAAAGUUCAGGGAGGGGAAAAAAGAUCUUUUACUUUUUAAGCAGUUAAAAAAAAAAAAAAAAAAAGAAACCUGUAACAGAAAAAAGAAAAUCGGAUCCCGAAGUCAUUUAAAUAGGCCAGGUCUUCCCUAACCUGCUGGAUACAUUAGGCAUUCCCGUCUUUCAAACAAAGCAUGAAAAUCUCUUUAGAAGUGUCAUGUUCUGCACAUAUCACUAUAACAGUGAUAAUAUGAUUCCCGAAGGAGAGAGACACACACAGAGAAACAGAGUUUUUUCCCAGCCACCUAUGCUCUGGAUGUUGACCUAGUUAUUAACAUAAUUCAUUCGGCUUUAACUUUACUUAUCAUUCAUCAGACUUACUUCCCAUGCACCUAGGUAAUAUUCCUAAUUUUCAUUUUGAUGGCUGCCAUGGCAGGUGGCAUGGCAUAUUCCAUGAUUCUAAAUGGCUUCCAAUUUUACUAAUUAUCCAUAAGCAAUAAAGGAAGGAAGGAAGGAAGGAAGGAAGGAAGGAAGGAAGGAAGGAAGGAAAGAAAGGAAAGAAAGCUCUUUCCUUUUGCCUUGUUGCAACCGAGACAGCAAGAUGCAACACCAGGAGCUCUACUGGAGCCCUCCGAGGAAAUUGGGCCAGGGUUCUCGUUCUUGCCGCUUAUGCUCAAACCCCACCCCCACCCCGCCCCGGGUCUGAUCCCGAAACACGGCCUCAAUACGUGCCGCCAGUGUGUCAGCACCCGAAGGUACAGGCUUCAGCAAGCUAGAUUAAGUGACCUUCCUUGAACGGGUCAUCCAGGAUACCUACGGCAAUUGCAGAUACCCAAGAUAGCUACCUUAAUGCUGGCUCUUCGGGCCUAAAAUAAAAAUACUUCAAUGAUGAGUGCCUUACCAAAAAAAGAAAGAAACAAGAAGACCAAAAUGGAGCCACUUGCCCCCACCCCACCCCACCCCCCAACAACAGCAAACCCAGUCUCAGUUUCAUCCUCUGCGGCAAUGCGACGCUUGGAGUCGUAUGGACUUGUCCUGAUUGGCACUAGUGGGGUCAUCUGCAUGAUAAAAACACUCCUAUUCCCUUCCCCCACCGAAACAAGAAGUAACAAUCCUUGCUUUUCUUUUGCUAAUCACUUUAGCCGCCCCCCCCCACCCUUCCUGUAAAAACCUCCCAUUCCGUAUACCUCCUGGGGUAUCUCUCUAGGUACUUGUUAGCUGGGAUACUGCUCCCUUCGGGAAUCACUUAAUAAA
This is a long non-coding RNA of Herpailurus yagouaroundi (jaguarundi), 2587 nucleotides long. RefSeq lists it as uncharacterized. The transcript is spliced from 3 exons. The record is from RefSeq and is a predicted model, not a curated record. Lineage: Eukaryota; Metazoa; Chordata; Mammalia; Carnivora; Felidae.